This 368-nucleotide unclassified non-coding RNA is filed under the name Hevea brasiliensis (rubber tree). The record is from RNAcentral. Lineage: Eukaryota; Viridiplantae; Streptophyta; Magnoliopsida; Malpighiales; Euphorbiaceae.
AAUUUGGGGUCAACGAGCAGACUUUCAUCAAUCGACAGUUGAGGCGCCGUUAUAGAACCAUUUUGAGUGACUGCCGCCGGUUCUACCUCGACGGAACUNNNNGCUCAUUUUCUGCUUCUCGUCCUCUGUUCUUGUCACUGCAGCCGCUGCCGCCGCCGCCGCCACUCAUGUUGCAAACUUAGCAGCCUCAAAUUAUUCCCGAAUUCCUCAUUUCUUUCCAGUCUCUUCCUCUUUUAUUAUCUCUCUAUAUUUCCACAAUCAAAAUCAUAAUCCUAAAUUCCGCAAGGUGAACUAAUAAUCAGCAUUUACUCAUCAGACCAAAAAAUUGAUUCGUUUUGAUAUAGAGCUUUGCUUUCGCUAUAAAUUUC